RNAcentral lists this ribosomal RNA (681 nucleotides) under Saprolegnia sp. 1 APM-2013. Its description in RNAcentral is "eukaryotic LSU rRNA". It matches the Rfam family "Eukaryotic large subunit ribosomal RNA", at positions 34 to 563 of the family's 3401-position model. Lineage: Eukaryota; Oomycota; Saprolegniomycetes; Saprolegniales; Saprolegniaceae. The record is from RNAcentral.
UUAAGCAUAUCAUUAAGCGGAGGAAAAGAAACUAACAAGGAUUCCCCCAGUAACGGCGAGUGAAGCGGGAAGAGCUCAAGCUUAAAAUCUCCAUACUUGUAUGGCGAAUUGUAGUCUAUUGAGGCUGUUGUCAGCAUCGCGAUCGGGGACAAGUCCCUUGGAAAAGGGCAGCAUGGAGGGUGAUACUCCCGUCUCUGCUCCGAUUUGCGGUGUGUACGAUACGCUUUCUUUGAGUCGAGUUGUUUGGGAAUACAGCUCAAAGUAGGUGGUAAAUUCCAUCUAAAGCUAAAUAUUGGUGCGAGACCGAUAGCGAACAAGUACCGUGAGGGAAAGAUGAAAAGAACUUUGAAAAGAGAGUUAAAGAGUACCUGAAACUGUUGAAAGGGAACCGUAUCGUUUCCAGUGUUUUAUCCUGUGCAUAUUUCAUUCGCGGAGCAAUUUGCGGGUGCCCUGUGCAUGGGUGUGACGUCAGAGUCAGUUUGUAUGCUGCGGGAGAUGGUCAGUGAGGAGGUGCGUCACUUCGGUGAAAGUUAUAUCUCGCUGUCUAGUAGCCGUGGUUGAGACUGAGGUGCCUACAACAUGCCUUGGGGUUUCGUGUUGUCUCGUGUUAAUAACUGCUUUGAUAGCUUGCUAUGUCUGUGGUUUAUUGAUGCGAUUGAUGAUGCGGAUAACUUUUGCUGU